GGGCCCAGAUCCUCCACCCCCAUCCCCACACCGAGCCGAGCCGGACCGAGCGCCUGGACACCGCCGCCGCCGCGGAAGUGCAGGAGAACCCGGCCGGAGGAAGCAAGGCUCCUCCAACACAUGUGAAGUCAGCCACUGCCUCUUUUCCAACUGCUGCUCUUUUUGAAUUCUGAUACAUCAGCUCACAGAUGCCUUGUGCUGAU
RNAcentral lists this long non-coding RNA (203 nucleotides) under Astyanax mexicanus (Mexican tetra). RNAcentral describes it as "lncRNA (ENSAMXG00005023944.1)". The record is from RNAcentral. Lineage: Eukaryota; Metazoa; Chordata; Actinopteri; Characiformes; Acestrorhamphidae.